CCUACGGGGAGCAGCAGUGAGGAAUAUUGGUCAAUGGACGAGAGUCUGAACCAGCCAAGUAGCGUGAAGGAUGACUGCCCUAUGGGUUGUAAACUUCUUUUAUAAAGGAAUAAAACGAGGCACGUGGGCCUUUUUGCAUGUCCUUUAUGAAUCAGGAUCGGCUAACUCCGUACCAGCAGCCGCGGUAAUACGGAGGAUCCUAGCGUUAUCCGGAUUUAUUGGGUUGAAAGGGUGCGCAGGCGGAGGCACAAGUCAGCGGUAAAAUCGCGGGGCUAAACCCCGCUACGCAGUUGACACUGUGUCCCUUGAGUGCGCGAAGGGUAGGCGGAAUGCGUGGUGUAGCGGUGAAAUGCAUAGAGAUCACGCAGAACUCCGAUCGCGAAGGCAGCCUACCGGCGCGCAACUGACGCUCAUGCACGAAAGCGUGGGUAUCGAACAGGAUUAGAUACCCGAGUAGUC
Molecule: ribosomal RNA, 459 nt
Filed under: uncultured bacterium
Lineage: Bacteria
Description: partial 16S ribosomal RNA
Rfam family: Bacterial small subunit ribosomal RNA
Source: RNAcentral